GACGAACGCUGGCGGCGUGCUUAACACGUGCAAGUCGAACGGAAAGGCCCUGCUUUUGUGGGGUGCUCGAGUGGCGAACGGGUGAGUAACACGUGAGUAACCUGCCCUUGACUUUGGGAUAACUUCAGGAAACUGGGGCUAAUACCGGAUAGGAGCUCCUGCUGCAUGGUGGGGGUUGGAAAGUUUCGGCGGUUGGGGAUGGACUCGCGGCUUAUCAGCUUGUUGGUGGGGUAGUGGCUUACCAAGGCUUUGACGGGUAGCCGGCCUGAGAGGGUGACCGGCCACAUUGGGACUGAGAUACGGCCCAGACUCCUACGGGAGGCAGCAGUGGGGAAUAUUGUACAAUGGGCGGAAGCCUGAUGCAGCAACGCCGCGUGCGGGAUGACGGCCUUCGGGUUGUAAACCGCUUUCGCCUGUGACGAAGCGUGAGUGACGGUAAUGGGUAAAGAAGCACCAGCUAACUACGUG
RNAcentral lists this ribosomal RNA (468 nucleotides) under uncultured bacterium. RNAcentral describes it as "partial 16S ribosomal RNA". It matches the Rfam family "Bacterial small subunit ribosomal RNA", at positions 28 to 507 of the family's 1533-position model. The record is from RNAcentral.